GAUGAAGAACGUAGCGAAAUGCGAUAAGUAAUGUGAAUUGCAGAAUUCCGUGAAUCAUCGAAUCUUUGAACGCACAUUGCGCCCCCUGGCAUUCCGGGGGGCAUGCCUGUCCGAGCGUCAUUUCUGCCCUCAAGCACGGCUUGUGUGUUGGGUGUGGUCCCCCCGGGGACCUGCCCGAAAGGCAGCGGCGACGUCCGUCUGGUCCUCGAGCGUAUGGGGCUCUGUCACUCGCUCGGGAAGGACCUGCGGGGGUUGGUCACCACCAUGUUUUACCACGGUUGACCUCGGAACAGGUAGGAGUUACCCGCUGAACUUAAGCAUAUCAAUAAGCGGAGGA
Molecule: unclassified non-coding RNA, 337 nt
Filed under: soil metagenome
Description: partial contains 5.8S ribosomal RNA, internal transcribed spacer 2, and large subunit ribosomal RNA
Rfam family: 5.8S ribosomal RNA (bases 1-120)
Source: RNAcentral